Long non-coding RNA from Vitis riparia (riverbank grape), 428 nucleotides. RefSeq lists it as uncharacterized. Lineage: Eukaryota; Viridiplantae; Streptophyta; Magnoliopsida; Vitales; Vitaceae. The transcript has 2 exons. The record is from RefSeq and is a predicted model, not a curated record.
UCACAUAGCAAGCCUUUCCGUUCAGAAACAUACACUGCAACACACCAUUCCAAACAACAAAAACACAAGUUAGGCCAUGGUCUCAAACAGGGGAAUGAAGGAGUGUAAGGAGUGGCAUGGAAGAUGGUAGCUUCAAGUGUUCCAUGGAAGAACUUGUGCUUUCUCCCCAUGGCUCUAGACUUCAAACAAUAUAAUGAGAUAUGUUGCAUUGUAGUUGAUAUUUAUUGUAGGAGAGGAGAGGACUGAUAACUUGGACUGCAAAUAAGAGGGCUGGCGGUUGGAAAAAAACUUUGAAAAACCUGCAUUUCUAGUCUUAGAGGCAACCUUCAAGUCUAGCAUUUAAGUUUUUCCUUAAAGUUGAAGUUUCUUAAACUCAAUCAACACUUUUCCUCGCCAAAAGAGUGAAAGCAUCACACAGUUUGAAUGUA